AUUGAACGCUGGCGGCAUGCUUUACACAUGCAAGUCGAACGGUAACAGGCCUUCGGGUGCUGACGAGUGGCGAACGGGUGAGUAAUGCAUCGGAACGUACCCAGAGGUGGGGGAUAACGCAGCGAAAGCUGUGCUAAUACCGCAUGUGAUCUGAGGAUGAAAGCGGGGGACCGAGCAGCAAUGAUUGGCCUCGCGCCUUUGGAGCGGCCGAUGUCGGAUUAGCUAGUUGGUGGGGUAAAGGCCUACCAAGGCGACGAUCCGUAGCUGGUCUGAGAGGACGACCAGCCACACUGGGACUGAGACACGGCCCAGACUCCUACGGGAGGCAGCAGUGGGGAAUUUUGGACAAUGGGCGCAAGCCUGAUCCAGCAAUGCCGCGUGCGGGAAGAAGGCCUUCGGGUUGUAAACCGCUUUUGGCAGGAACGAAACGGUGUCCGCUAAUACCGGGCGCUAAUGACGGUACCUGCAGAAUAAGCACCGGCUAACUACGUG
This 492-nucleotide ribosomal RNA is filed under the name uncultured bacterium. RNAcentral describes it as "partial 16S ribosomal RNA". It matches the Rfam family "Bacterial small subunit ribosomal RNA", at positions 29 to 507 of the family's 1533-position model. The record is from RNAcentral.